GCCUGGGUGGCUCAGUCGGUUGAGCGUCUGACUUCAGCUCAGGUCAUGAUCUCGCAGUCUGUGAGUUUGAGCCCCAUGUCAGGCU
Molecule: transfer RNA, 85 nt
Filed under: Felis catus (domestic cat)
Lineage: Eukaryota; Metazoa; Chordata; Mammalia; Carnivora; Felidae
Rfam family: tRNA
About the family: Transfer RNA (tRNA) molecules are approximately 80 nucleotides in length. Their secondary structure includes four short double-helical elements and three loops (D, anti-codon, and T loops).
Source: Rfam by way of RNAcentral